RNAcentral lists this ribosomal RNA (444 nucleotides) under Campoplex sp. CNC 422333. Its description in RNAcentral is "partial 28S ribosomal RNA". The record is from RNAcentral. Lineage: Eukaryota; Metazoa; Arthropoda; Insecta; Hymenoptera; Ichneumonidae.
CCUGAGAAACCCAAAAGUUCGAAUGGAGAGAUUCAUCGUCAGCGAUCCUGGCACUUGUGCGGUUCGCGAUGUCGGGGACCUCGGUCCCGCGGCACGCGUCCGUAUGAUUUAUUUGCCGGGUGUCGUCGUCGUGCACUUCUCCCCUAGUAGGACGUCGCGACCCGUUGGGUGUCGGUCUACGACUCGGGUGGGAGCCUGUCAUGUGUUACGCUUCACGGCGUCAUGUGGCAGACCCCCGGUUGUCUGACCAGCUGCCCGGCGGUAUUCGCACGGUAUCGAGUCGCAAUUUGAACUGCGUCCGGCCCGCCGCAAGCGAGGCCAGUGUUUCCCGGAUGUACGGACUUAGCGCCGUCACCGGGCCUGGCCAGCUGUUGGCCGGCGGUGUCCUGGGACUGGCUCUUCAAAUACCGGUCGGCGACGCUACUGCUUUGGGUACUUUCAGGA